GGGAAUCGUGGUUGACCUUCACGAUGACCUCUGCACCUCCAGGGAGGGGGCAAGACCUGUAAGGCGUCUGUGUUGUUUACUGAGCCCUGAACUUGACCCUUAGGACAGGUUCCCUGAAUACCCAAUAAAUGACCAGCAUCUCCAAACACGUGGUUACAAGAAUGGUGGGGGAUGGGGCAGGAGCGGUCCACAGGGGAGAAAGCCUAAGUCCCUCACCGAGACAGAUGAGGGAACAGUGAGAAGGCCAGUGCGGGUCCACCACUAGCCAGAGACUCACCCUCAGAAAUGGACACAGCACCCACGACUGCCAUGUGUCCGUGCAGCCUCCUUAGGGUCUGGAGCUCAUUCAAAAUGCACACACCCAAAUCCCACACCUGAACUAUGGAAGCUGGGCCCAAGGAGUCCAACAUCUCCCACUGCGCUGCAGGUGACUGGCAAGCACAUCUCCCUUGAAACGCCCGCAGGGGAUGGAAACAGACCUGCGUUUCUCUGUAGAUGAAAAAUAAGCCCCGACCUUCUCUUUAGUAAUUUAAUCUGUUUACAUUUAAAUUUCCUAUGAUGUGACCUUACCUUCUUGCUGUUUGUUUUCUGUUUUUACCACUUUUUCUCUCUGCUUCUGCCUUUUGUUUAUUAAUCAAAUGGAUCUUUUCUCAGUUGCCCCAUUUUGCAAUCCUCCACUAGGUAGAAACUGCAUAGUAUGCAAAAUUACAGGUUUAAAAAAACAUUUACACCAAAAUUAGCUAAUUUUUAUUUCCAUGUUCCUGUGAACUUUGAAGCACCCUCACAUAUUUCUGCUUUACUGGAGUGCAUCUAACCUGUGACGUUACCACCUGAACAAUGAUGAGCUCCACAACUUUUGAAACCGUUUAACCUCCUGCUGGCUGUUUUCAUUCUCAUCAAGUAACUGAGUUCUAUAUGCACUGUGAACUUCCACAGCUACUGACUACUGCUGCUUUGUGCACUUGUGGUUAAUUUUCAUUUCUUAAUACAUGGUGCCUUUCUACUGCUCUUCAUUCUUCCUCUAUUUUCCUGUUUAGGAUCAUUUUUCAUUUUGCUUGAAGAACCUUGUUCAGUAUUUAUUAUUUUGA
This 1088-nucleotide long non-coding RNA is filed under the name Oryctolagus cuniculus (rabbit). RNAcentral's name for it is "lncRNA (ENSOCUG00000035535.1)". Lineage: Eukaryota; Metazoa; Chordata; Mammalia; Lagomorpha; Leporidae. The record is from RNAcentral.